CCUGGAAUCACCAUUGAUGAAAAAGAAAUUAAUUUGGCAAAAGAUUUUUUAAAAUACAUUUGUUGAAAUAUUUGGAAGGUAGUAAGUAGAUCAAGAUUAUGCUUUUCUUUUCUGAUAAUCGUCAAAUCCCGCAGAAAUUUUUUUGCAAUGAUGUUAUGGAUGAUUCUAAUGUCUUUUUCCGAUAAUUGAAUGCUUUAAAUCAGUUGGAGGGCUCAAAUGUGUUUAAUUUGUUCCUUUGGUGGUCAUAAAGGUGGUCAUUCUAAUAUGAGGACAUUAGAAAUAUAAUAAACCUCAUUAGCUUUGUAUUGGAGCAAAUAUUAUUGCUAAAGCAAAUGUGACUUGCCACCUUGGCAUUGUGGAGGGGCUGAUGUUAAGUUUCAUAAUCUUGAAAGAAAUUGGAGCUAUUCAAAAAGGAAUUUAAUAAAAUUCUGGAUUUUUGUGCUAAUAUAGCAAAAAGAACCAAAGCGUGAAAAUGGACAAAUUCUGCCUUGUAGUUUCCCUUUGUUUUCAACAACUCGAGGUUUUGAUGGGAUACAUGAUAUUUCUCAAGGAUGGCUGGCCUUCUCUCUUGCUUUUCUUCCUCUUCUUCUUCUUCCCUUUUGUUGCUAUAAAUGAAGAAAGGUGAAGGAACUGUUCCUUAAAGACAGGGAAAGACAUGCCCUGUAAGUUUCUUGUGUACCUAUGAAGAUAAGUAGUCCCACCAACCCCCCACAACACCACACCCCUCCCCCCCUGGCCCACCUCCUUAUGACAUGGUUAUAUAAAUGCGUUGGCUGAGGUGAUAAGUUAUUACAAUGCUCAGUUAACAGUUCCAUAUUAUUUAUUUAUUUUUUGUCUGCUUUCAAUCCUGAUAAGUGUGGAACGGUUUGUUUUCAAUGAGAUUGCAUUUAAUUUUUGUUGCAAAAGAUUUUUAAUUGUUGGUUUUCUUAAUUUGUGGUAGCUGCAACCAUUUUCCACAAUACUUAUCUAGUACAUAAUAAAUUGUAGUGAUAUUAACCGGCUUCAAAGUUAUCUGUGAUCGUGUGUGAGCUAUUAGACAACUGAUGUCACAAUUAAUGUUUUUCUAUUGAAAGGAUUUUUUUUCAUUGUGCAACUUUCUGAAUCACUGUAACUUUGAGAGAGCAUAUCUAUAGUUGUUUUUAUUUUUUUCUAAAAUUCAGUAUAAUUGCUUGGUUUGAUCACUGAUGGUCUUGAGCGUGCUACUUAGUGCUAUGUUGGCUUUGUGCGAAUUGGUUACAUCGAGUGAUUAUCUUUCAUGAAGAUUGUAAAUUCAAUAAGUGUUUUAAACAUUUAUGUUAUAUACAAUGCUGAUAUAAAAAUUACACCAGACGGUGUACAUAUGCUUUUGGUCUCAUUACUUGCCUGUUAGUCCCUAUGUGAAUUAUAAGGAAAUAUUUCCUAGAUGUGCCAGGCAUUAUGACAGCUGGUUAGUGAUUUCUUUUUUAUUUUUUUCAUUGAGUGGUGUUUUGGCACAUCGAAUGACAUUUACUGUUCCUUGGAAUUUUCUUUAUGAAGCAUAUUGGAUGAUGUUUUGAUGAAUGCUUUCUAAAAUCAUCAAUAUUCUUGAGAAAGCUGAUUUUUCAGAUUCAAAAAAAAAGGAGAGAGUAUUCUAAUGAUAACUAAUUAAGUUUUGUUUUUAUAUAUAUAUAUAAGGUACUUGAAUCCUUUUUUAAAAAUUCAUCACAGCUUCAAAAAAUAUUUGUGUUUCCAAAGUUGCAAGGAUCAUAUUCUCUAUUUUCUGUUGUUCUCUCAUUAUUUAGUUUCUGGAGAAGGGUGUUUAGUACUUUUGUGGUACUAUGGGUUGGUCCAAUUUUAAAGAACCUGUUUUUUUUUUUAUGUUUCUGUGCUUUUGCUUAUUUAUUUGAGUCUAAUGGUAGGAUUUAAUGAUCACUUGCCUGUGCAGCAUCUGUGGGACGUUAUCUCACACACAUAUGGAUGCAUGUACACAUGAUGUGUUACUAGAUAAUGUA
This 1970-nucleotide unclassified non-coding RNA is filed under the name Hevea brasiliensis (rubber tree). The record is from RNAcentral. Lineage: Eukaryota; Viridiplantae; Streptophyta; Magnoliopsida; Malpighiales; Euphorbiaceae.